Molecule: ribosomal RNA, 482 nt
Filed under: uncultured bacterium
Lineage: Bacteria
Description: partial 16S ribosomal RNA
Rfam family: Bacterial small subunit ribosomal RNA
Source: RNAcentral
AUUGAACGCUGGCGGCAUGCUUUACACAUGCAAGUCGAACGGCAGCGCGGGGCAACCUGGCGGCGAGUGGCGCACGGGUGAGUAAUACAUCGGAACGUACCCAGAAGUGGGGGAUAACGUAGCGAAAGUUACGCUAAUACCGCAUACGUUCUACGGAAGAAAGUGGGGGACCUUCGGGCCUCAUGCUUUUGGAGCGGCCGAUGUCUGAUUAGCUAGUUGGUGAGGUAAAGGCUCACCAAGGCGACGAUCAGUAGCUGGUCUGAGAGGACGACCAGCCACACUGGGACUGAGACACGGCCCAGACUCCUACGGGAGGCAGCAGUGGGGAAUUUUGGACAAAGGGCGCAAGCCUGAUCCAGCAAUGCCGCGUGAGUGAAGAAGGCCUUCGGGUUGUAAAGCUCUUUUGUCAGGGAAGAAACGGCUGAGGAUAAUACCUUCGGCUAAUGACGGUACCUGAAGAAUAAGCACCGGCUAACUACGUG